UCUGGCGUCUUUCAGGCGUCCGAGUUGUAAUCUAUAGAAGUGUUUUCCGUGCUGGACCAUGUCCAAGUCCCUUGGAACAGGGUAUCAAAGAGGGUGACAAUCCCGUACUUGACAUGACCACCAGUGCUCUGUGAUACACUUUCUACGAGUCGAGUUGUUUGGGAAUGCAGCUCAAAAUGGGUGGUAAAUUCCAUCUAAAGCUAAAUAUUGGCGAGAGACCGAUAGCGAACAAGUACCGUGAGGGAAAGAUGAAAAGCACUUUGGAAAGAGAGUUAAACAGUACGUGAAAUUGUUGAAAGGGAAACGAUUGAAGUCAGUCGUGUUCAUUGGACUCAGCCGGUUUUCGGUGUAUUUCCUUUGAACGGGUCAACAUCAGUUUUGUCCGGUGGAUAAAGGCAGGAAGAAAGUGGCUCCCUCGGGAGUGUUAUAGCUUUCUGUCACAUACACUGGAGGAGACUGAGGACUGCAGCUCGCCUUUUGGCCGGGGUUCGCCCACGUUCGAGCUUAGGAUGUUGACAUAAUGGCUU
RNAcentral lists this ribosomal RNA (527 nucleotides) under Vanrija humicola. Its description in RNAcentral is "partial large subunit ribosomal RNA". It matches the Rfam family "Eukaryotic large subunit ribosomal RNA", at positions 121 to 640 of the family's 3401-position model. The record is from RNAcentral. Lineage: Eukaryota; Fungi; Basidiomycota; Tremellomycetes; Trichosporonales; Trichosporonaceae.